Long non-coding RNA from Ornithorhynchus anatinus (platypus), 468 nucleotides. RefSeq lists it as uncharacterized. The transcript is spliced from 5 exons. The record is from RefSeq and is a predicted model, not a curated record. Lineage: Eukaryota; Metazoa; Chordata; Mammalia; Monotremata; Ornithorhynchidae.
CUCCACCUAGCUCCUUCAGGCCACGGCAGAGACAGGACAGUAGAGCGGGUAGCCCGGUGGUCUGUACAACCUUCUAGGGAAGAAGAAGAGACACAGUAGCCUUUCCUGGGUGGAAGAGACAAGCGAGAAAUACCACAUCAUUUUGGAACGAGGAACAGAAUGAGCACAGAUAGCUGGAAACUGGAAACUCUAAAAUGGGACCCAGGUAACUGCGGUAGCCUACAAAGGAGCAAGAGCUGUGAACCUAAGUGCUAACGCUUCCUUGGAGUGUGGAGAAAAUCUGGGACGGGGGAUUUAAACGGGUUCCUGAUUCAGCCAGAUCAGGAAAAAGUUGGAGUAGUUCAUCAUUAGGAACACAAGAAACUAUGACAAAUAUCAGCCGGAAACAGCUGGGGUUCAAGAUUGCACCACCACCGUCUUUGGACGGGUGAAUACUUACCUGAAAUGAAAGUCCUAACAUGAAUCCAA